CGAGUUCUUCGGUGAGAGGGAGAGAGGAGGGUUUUCCUCCUUAAAUAGAGUCGGAGGGGGCCUCUUUCCGACUCCGGUUGGGAGUCAGUGAGAGGAGGAUGAAGACUCCCUUUGGGAGUCUUCUCCUCUGUUUCUUCCUUCCUUUUUUUUUCGUUUGUGUAUUGGGCUGGGUUUAAGGCCCAAUGGGCCGGGCCAUGACACGCCGUCAUCCACAACAGUCUCCUUCACCAGAGUGAUCAUCUCGACUCUCUCAUCGAGAUGAGUAGCAGCACUCAUGGCACUCUCGAUGUGCCACCCAUCAUUCAUGGCAUCCCUCUCCUUCUCAGUUGGAUCGAGCAAGGAAAGAAAAGUGACUGCGAACACCAUCUGUUUCCCUCUCUAACUCAUCGGGUGGUUCAACUUUUGGAGUUUUUCAAUGGCGAUUCAAUG
Molecule: long non-coding RNA, 429 nt
Filed under: Elaeis guineensis (African oil palm)
Lineage: Eukaryota; Viridiplantae; Streptophyta; Magnoliopsida; Arecales; Arecaceae
Description: long non-coding RNA (EGUI_LNC074034)
Source: RNAcentral